This 1373-nucleotide long non-coding RNA is filed under the name Solanum tuberosum (potato). RNAcentral describes it as "long non-coding RNA (STUB_LNC001263)". Lineage: Eukaryota; Viridiplantae; Streptophyta; Magnoliopsida; Solanales; Solanaceae. The record is from RNAcentral.
UUUAUACAAUCCUAUUUAGAAUAGAAUAGGAAUAGAAAAUAGUAUCCUACUUGGUAAAGGAUUGUAUUGUAGUGUCUAUAAAUAUAGUCUCAAUGUAAUAAUGUAGACACAACAACAAUUCAAUAAUAUUUUUCUCCUAUAUUUCUCAUAUGGUAUCAGAGCCUCUACAAUGUAAUGGCAGAUACAUUAGAGUAAUCACCUGGGUCGGAGACAAGAAAUCUACUAUUAUUAUUCCAGAACAAUUACAACAGAGGCUGGGGAAUUUUCCCUAGCUGUAAUGUUUGUUCUGUUUGGAUAGAAAGGAAUAGAAGAUGUUUGAUGGGAUUUUAACUCCCAUCUCAGUUCUUAAGGGUAGAGUCCGAGCAACAUAGAUAUAUUAUUAUCCAUAUGAGUCGCAUCUUUCAACUUUGAAUAGUGAAGCUUAUUCUCUUCUCAAUGUACUCUAUCAAGUAGUAAUAUUUUUUUAUAACAAGGAAAUCCCGAGGACUUGUUGGAGCAGAGUUUGAAACUCGAUGUAAAAUGAGUCUGUUCUUCUACCCUUCUCCACUUUAAUACUAGCCUUUUGUGAGUUGCAGGGUUCGAAAGUAUUACAAUUGAAUCAAAAGAAAAAUACAAGCCUCAUAUGACAUUGUUUCUAGAGUAGAACAAGAUCAUAAACAGGAGUAAGAAGGAUCGUUGAGAAGACAAAGAACUACCUCACAAAUCUCCAAGAAGCCUUGGAAAAGAAGGGAAUGACAAGUACCACAAAAAUCCAGGCUCGUAACCUACAAAAAUUUGUAGAAGCAAGAGGUGAGUACCAAACCACACGGUACUCAGCAAGUAAACCUCUAAACACGAGCUAAGGGGAUAGAAUACAAGUACUCAUUACACCCACCGAACCUUCACAACUACAAUCUAGUAUAAAAGCAGCCCAACCUAACAGUUCACAAUUUACAAGCACAUAUCUCAACAACAACAUUCUAACAAUCAUAUAUUCUCAACAACAAGCUCAAUAUUCAUCAAUUACCACCUCCACAACUACAACCUGCUUAGUACCAGCCUAACAUAAGAGUUCACAGUUUACAAAGCAUAUAGCUCAACACAACACUCUAACAAUUUCAUAUCCUCAACAACAACAAUAGUUUCAUAUCCUCAACAACAACACUCUAACAAUUACAUAUCUUCAACAACAAGCUCAAUAUUCAUCAGUCAUAAGUUCCAUAGAAAUGCACUCACAAGAUCAUCAACACACAAGAUCAAGUUCACCAAUAAUAAAGAAGUGCAAUGCAAUGAAAUGCAAUGUCAAGUAUAGUGAUGCAUGUCUGACCUAAUGAUACACACCCGCUGUCUCUCAGUCCGGGACCCAUGGGGGACAUAUCUGUCCAUGCAUCCAU